UUUUAUGGAGAGUUUGAUCCUGGCUCAGGAUGAACGCUGGCGGCGUGCCUAAUACAUGCAAGUCGAGCGAACGGACGAGAAGCUUGCUUCUCUGAUGUUAGCGGCGGACGGGUGAGUAACACGUGGAUAACCUACCUAUAAGACUGGGAUAACUUCGGGAAACCGGAGCUAAUACCGGAUAAUAUUUUGAACCGCAUGGUUCAAAAGUGAAAGACGGUCUUGCUGUCACUUAUAGAUGGAUCCGCGCUGCAUUAGCUAGUUGGUAAGGUAACGGCUUACCAAGGCAACGAUGCAUAGCCGACCUGAGAGGGUGAUCGGCCACACUGGAACUGAGACACGGUCCAGACUCCUACGGG
RNAcentral lists this ribosomal RNA (356 nucleotides) under Staphylococcus aureus. RNAcentral's name for it is "bacterial SSU rRNA". It matches the Rfam family "Bacterial small subunit ribosomal RNA", at positions 1 to 345 of the family's 1533-position model. Lineage: Bacteria; Bacillati; Bacillota; Bacilli; Caryophanales; Staphylococcaceae. RNAcentral also lists the same sequence under 1 other name. The record is from RNAcentral.